Molecule: ribosomal RNA, 574 nt
Filed under: Salmonella enterica subsp. enterica
Lineage: Bacteria; Pseudomonadati; Pseudomonadota; Gammaproteobacteria; Enterobacterales; Enterobacteriaceae
Description: bacterial LSU rRNA
Rfam family: Bacterial large subunit ribosomal RNA
Source: RNAcentral
GGUAUAGACCCGAAACCCGGUGAUCUAGCCAUGGGCAGGUUGAAGGUUGGGUAACACUAACUGGAGGACCGAACCGACUAAUGUUGAAAAAUUAGCGGAUGACCUGUGGCUGGGGGUGAAAGGCCAAUCAAACCGGGAGAUAGCUGGUUCUCCCCGAAAGCUAUUUAGGUAGCGCCUCGUGAAUUCAUCUCCGGGGGUAGAGCACUGUUUCGGCUAGGGGGCCAUCCCGGCUUACCAACCCGAUGCAAACUGCGAAUACCGGAGAAUGUUAUCACGGGAGACACACGGCGGGUGCUAACGUCCGUCGUGAAGAGGGAAACAACCCAGACCGCCAGCUAAGGUCCCAAAGUCAUGGUUAAGUGGGAAACGAUGUGGGAAGGCCCAGACAGCCAGGAUGUUGGCUUAGAAGCAGCCAUCAUUUAAAGAAAGCGUAAUAGCUCACUGGUCGAGUCGGCCUGCGCGGAAGAUGUAACGGGGCUAAACCAUGCACCGAAGCUGCGGCAGCGACACUCAGGUGUUGUUGGGUAGGGGAGCGUUCUGUAAGCCUGUGAAGGUGUGUCGUGAGGCAUGCUGG